AUUGAACGCUGGCGGUAGGCCUAACACAUGCAAGUCGAACGGCAGCACAGUAAGAGCUUGCUCUUACGGGUGGCGAGUGGCGGACGGGUGAGGAAUACAUCGGAAUCUACUUUUUCGUGGGGGGAUAACGUAGGGAAACUUACGCUAAUACCGCAUACGACCUACGGGUGAAAGCAGAGGAUCUUCGGACCUUGCGCGAUUGAAUGAGCCGAUGUCGGAUUAGCUAGUUGGCGGGGUAAAGGCCCACCAAGGCGACGAUCCGUAGCUGGUCUGGGAGGAGGAUCAGCCACACGGGAACUGAGACACGGGCCAGCCUCCUACGGGAGGCAGCAGUGGGGAAUAUUGGACAAUGGGCGCAAGCCUGAUCCAGCCAUACCGCGUGGGUGAAGAAGGCCUUCGGGUUGUAAAGCCCUUUUGUUGGGAAAGAAAUCCAGCCGGCUAAUACCUGGUUGGGAUGACGGUACCCAAAGAAUAAGCACCGGCUAACUUCGUGCCAGCCGCCGCAGUAA
This 509-nucleotide ribosomal RNA is filed under the name uncultured bacterium. Its description in RNAcentral is "partial 16S ribosomal RNA". It matches the Rfam family "Bacterial small subunit ribosomal RNA", at positions 30 to 523 of the family's 1533-position model. The record is from RNAcentral.